UUGUGUAUUUUUUCUUAAAUUAUGAAGUGAUUGUAUAUUUGCGAAUGAAUUUAAUAGAAUUUUUGGAAAGAAAUCUGUAAGAAAAAUGUGUUAAGUUAUAUGUAAACAAAAUUAUUUGGAUUUUUUGACAAAUUGUAUGACAAGUGGUUUUAGUUGGUAUUAAAUUCUAAAUUUAACUGGAUCAUAUUAGAUGUUGUCAUCGCUGAAGAAAUUAGUAAGUUAGAAAUUAAUUAUCUGGUACGAUUAAAAUAAGCAAGGGGGCAAGUCAAGUAAGCAAAAAUGUAUUUGUAAUGAGUGAGUAAUUGUUGUAUGAAAUGUGUAUUAAGUGUGUUUGAAUGUUGGUAUGAUAUAAGUUGUCUUUGCGACAUGUGUAUGAAAUGUAUAUUAAGAAAGUAUGAAUUUCGUUUGUAGUCGUGUCUGAUGAAAUGUAUGAAAAGUUUUUUAAUGUUGUAUUGAUGGUGAAAUUUUAUGUAG
This 474-nucleotide long non-coding RNA is filed under the name Solanum tuberosum (potato). RNAcentral describes it as "long non-coding RNA (STUB_LNC003056)". The record is from RNAcentral. Lineage: Eukaryota; Viridiplantae; Streptophyta; Magnoliopsida; Solanales; Solanaceae.